This 464-nucleotide ribosomal RNA is filed under the name uncultured bacterium. Its description in RNAcentral is "partial 16S ribosomal RNA". It matches the Rfam family "Bacterial small subunit ribosomal RNA", at positions 339 to 795 of the family's 1533-position model. The record is from RNAcentral.
CUACGGGUUGCAGCAGUGGGGAAUAUUGGACAAUGGGGGAAACCCUGAUCCAGCAAUGCCGCGUGUGUGAAGAAGGCCUGCGGGUUGUAAAGCACUUUCGGUUGGGAGGACUGCUUCUAGCACUAAUAUUGUUGGAAGUUGACGUUACCUUCAGAAGAAGCACCGGCUAACUCCGUGCCAGCAGCCGCGGUAAUACGGAGGGGCAAGCGUUAAUCGGAAUUACUGGGCGUAAAGCGCGCGUAGGCGGCUAGAUCAGUCGGGUGUGAAAGCCCCGGGCUUAACCUGGGAACUGCAUCCGAUACUGUCUAGCUUGAGUACAGGAGAGGAGAGUGGAAUUCCACAUGUAGCGGUGAAAUGCGUAGAUAUGUGGAGGAACACCAAUGGCGAAGGCAGCUCUCUGGCCUGAUACUGACGCUGAGGUGCGAAAGCGUGGGGAGCAAACAGGAUUAGAUACCCCAGUACUC